Molecule: long non-coding RNA, 1511 nt
Filed under: Brassica napus (rape)
Lineage: Eukaryota; Viridiplantae; Streptophyta; Magnoliopsida; Brassicales; Brassicaceae
Description: long non-coding RNA (BNAP_LNC000230)
Source: RNAcentral
CGGCGAACAGUGGACAGAGAUGUUCUUCCUGUGGCGAAACUAACUGAAGAUGACAAUGAAGAGGUCAUCCUCGAGCUCUGUUUUCUGUAAAGACUAGAACCAGAAGCUAACAGAGGAUUUAGAAUAGGAAAGGAUAGAGACUCCAUGCUUUCCUGGAAACGAAGUAGAAAAGUAAGAACGAAAUAAGUAUGUGAAAUGAGAUAGGUUAGCUUACUAUCGCAGACAUACUUAUUGAAAGACAAAAUAGGUGUACCACUCCACCAUCCACCUGUAGAAGUGAAAACAUGGUGAAGUCAGUGUCUACAACCGAGAGCAAUAUAAUGAAAUGAGUGUAUUCAAGUUUCAGUCUAUAUUCUAGAUGGGAUUAGAAGAUGAUAUACAUUGUAAACAUAUAGAUAAGAGGACAAUACUUUGUUGAUCCAACAUCACUAGAGCCAAUAGAUCAUAUAAUCAUAGUGGUGAAGAAGAAGUACCCAUAGCAAAACUGGUGACCUUUUUGGAAAGAGUUCCAGCGUCAAGGUUGUCUUCAUUGUCGAAGAUAGGAACCCAGUCAGAGCCUUUAACCCAUGCCUUUUAAGAAAAAAUACAACGAAAAUAGAAGAACACAUUAAUGAAACACUAUUGUCAAAGAGUAUUAUGAUAUCUGACUAACAUUGCUCAAUAAGACGCAUCAAAAUGAGGAAUAGCGACAAUGCUCAUAGACCCCAAACUAAACUUAAGAGAACAUUACAUGCUAUGGUUAGAGAUACUAGUCAUUUCUUUACAAUAACAUGGCCAUUUAAUGGUGAAGGUAGAGGCAAUCAUCAUCUAUGGAUAAGUUCCAAACAGCAUAGUAAAUGACCCAAAACACGCGAAUGUUACCUUGUUACGCUCGCUAGAAGGACGGACAUCGAGAAGAGGUUUGUUUGAAAGCUGAAUAGCAUAGCCUGCUUCUCUUGGUGUCAGAAGCUUCACCUUUCCUUCUCUUAACUACAGAAACAAUAAGUUUAAGAGACACAAUAACUCAUGUGUUCCAACUUUUAAGACAAAUAUGCAAAAAAGAGGAACUUACCAAACCAUCCCAACGCUUCUUAGCAGCAGCCAUGUCUCUCAUUUGCUUCAGAUCAAUAUCUUCAUCAACAGCUUGCAUCCUAACAACACCUACUCUCUAACCAUUUGAACAAACAAACAAUGAGCCAAACAAUAAAGAGACUCAAGUUUUCUUUCAAAAAAAAAAGAGACUCAAGUUUUAACCUUCGCAUUCCCAUUAACCAAAUCAAAUGGUAAAACAUAAAGAUAUGGAGAAUCGACAACUUACAGAGCGGCGAACGGUGGACAGAGAUGUUCUUCCUGUGGCGAAACUAACUGAAGAUGACAUUGAAGAGGUCAUCCUCGAGCUCUGUUUUCUGUAAAGACUAGAACCAGAAGCUAACAGAGGAUUUAGAAUAGGAAAGGAUAGAGACUCCAUGCUUUAGAGGUUAUGAGCUUUUUCAGCGAGCGGAACAGAGAAGGGAUGAAACUUUGAUUAUCCA